Molecule: ribosomal RNA, 460 nt
Filed under: uncultured bacterium
Lineage: Bacteria
Description: partial 16S ribosomal RNA
Rfam family: Bacterial small subunit ribosomal RNA
Source: RNAcentral
CCUACGGGAGGCAGCAGUGAGUAAUAUUGGUCAAUGGACGGAAGUCUGAACCAGCCAUGCCGCGUGCAGGAUGACGGCUCGAUGAGUUGUAAACUGCUUUUGUACGCGCAUAAUAGUGCUUACGUGUAGGUAUUUGAAUGCAUCGGACGAAUAAGGAUCGCCUAACUCCGUACCAGCAGCCGCGGUAAGAAGGAGGAUCAGAGCGUUAGCCGGUUUUAUUGGGUUUAAAGGUUGCUUAGGCUGACGGAUAAGUUAGAGGUCAAAUGUCGGGGCUUAACCCCGUGCCUGCCUCUGAUACUGUUCGACUAGAGAGCGGAUGAAGCAGGCGGAAUGAGUAGUGGAGCGGUGACAUGCUUAGAGAGUACUCAGAACACCGAUUGCGCAGGCAGCUUGCUAAUCCGCAUCUGACGCUGAUGCACGAAAGCGUGGGUAGCGAACAGGACUAGAUACCCGAGUAGUC